This 95-nucleotide microRNA precursor is filed under the name Pelodiscus sinensis (Chinese soft-shelled turtle). Its description in RNAcentral is "mir-130 microRNA precursor family". It matches the Rfam family "mir-130 microRNA precursor family". From Rfam's summary of the family: The hairpin precursors (represented here) are predicted based on base pairing and cross-species conservation -- their extents are not known. In this case the mature sequence is excised from the 3' arm of the hairpin. The record is from Rfam by way of RNAcentral. Lineage: Eukaryota; Metazoa; Chordata; Testudines; Trionychidae.
CACAGCAGAUGCCACAUGAACUUUAUACUUCUGUACUCGACAGCACUUUAAAGUCUACACUAGAAGUAUAAAGUUCAUGUGGCAUCUGCUGUGUG